GCAGACACAUUCCAGCCAAUCAGCAGCAGACCCUCCCUCCAAGACCCUCCCACCUCCUGGACAGCAUCCAUUGUGAAGCUGCAUUCUUAGUGAGCUGUCCAGGAGGUGGGAGGGUCUGGGAGGGAGGGUCUGCUGCUGAUUGGCUGGAAUGUGUCUG
Non-coding RNA from Pelobates cultripes (western spadefoot toad), 157 nucleotides. NCBI's taxonomy places the organism in Eukaryota, Metazoa, Chordata, Amphibia, Anura, Pelobatidae. The record is from the annotation of a GenBank genome assembly.